RNAcentral lists this ribosomal RNA (368 nucleotides) under uncultured organism. RNAcentral's name for it is "bacterial SSU rRNA". It matches the Rfam family "Bacterial small subunit ribosomal RNA", at positions 526 to 896 of the family's 1533-position model. The record is from RNAcentral.
CGGAGGGUGCAAGCGUUAUCCGGAUUCACUGGGUUUAAAGGGUGCGUAGGUGGGGUGGUAAGUCAGUGGUGAAAUCUCCGAGCUUAACUUGGAAACUGCCAUUGAUACUAUCAUUCUUGAAUAUUGUGGAGGUCAGCGGAAUAUGUCAUGUAGCGGUGAAAUGCUUAGAUAUGACAUAGAACACCAAUUGCGAAGGCAGCUGGCUACACAUAUAUUGACACUGAGGCACGAAAGCGUGGGGAUCAAACAGGAUUAGAUACCCUGGUAGUCCACGCCCUAAACUAUGGAUACUCGACAUACGCGAUACACUGUGUGUGUCUGAGCGAAAGCAUUAAGUAUCCCACCUGGGAAGUACGAUCGCAAGAUUG